UACAGAGGGUGCGAGCGUUAAUCGGAAUUACUGGGCGUAAAGCGUGCGUAGGCGGUCGUGUAAGUCGGGUGUGAAAGCCCCGGGCUCAACCUGGGAAUUGCAUUCGAAACCGCACGGCUGGAGUGCGGAAGAGGGAAGCGGAAUUUCCGGUGUAGCGGUGAAAUGCGUAGAUAUCGGAAGGAACAUCAGUGGCGAAAGCGGCUUCCUGGUCCAGCACUGACGCUCUGGCACGAAAGCGUGGGGAGCAAACAGG
This 253-nucleotide ribosomal RNA is filed under the name uncultured bacterium. Its description in RNAcentral is "partial 16S ribosomal RNA". It matches the Rfam family "Bacterial small subunit ribosomal RNA", at positions 524 to 776 of the family's 1533-position model. The record is from RNAcentral.